GGGCCCGUAGCUCAGUCUGGAUAGAGCGGCAGCCUAUUCUAGGCCGAGCCCCCUAUGCCUUGAGCGAGUUGAGCUGUAGGUCCGGGGUUCGAAUCCCCGCGGGCCCGCCA
Molecule: transfer RNA, 110 nt
Filed under: Candidatus Bathyarchaeota archaeon
Lineage: Archaea; Thermoproteati; Candidatus Bathyarchaeota
Description: tRNA-OTHER
Rfam family: tRNA
About the family: Transfer RNA (tRNA) molecules are approximately 80 nucleotides in length.
Source: RNAcentral